Molecule: ribosomal RNA, 301 nt
Filed under: uncultured bacterium
Lineage: Bacteria
Description: partial 16S ribosomal RNA
Rfam family: Bacterial small subunit ribosomal RNA
Source: RNAcentral
CAGCAGCCGCGGGAAUACGGAGGGAGCUAGCGUUGUUCGGAAUUACUGGGCGUAAAGCGCGCGUAGGCGGUUACUCAAGUCAGAGGUGAAAGCCCGGGGCUCAACCCCGGAACUGCCUUUGAAACUAGGUAACUAGAAUCUUGGAGAGGUCAGUGGAAUUCCGAGUGUAGAGGUGAAAUUCGUAGAUAUUCGGAAGAACACCAGUGGCGAAGGCGACUGACUGGACAAGUAUUGACGCUGAGGUGCGAAAGCGUGGGGAGCAAACAGGAUUAGAUACCCCUGUAGUCCCUGUCUCUUAUAC